CCUGGCUCAGGAUGAACGCUGGCGGCGUGCUAACACAUGCAAGUCGAACGGGGCGACCAUUUUUGUAAGCGAUUAGCUUGCUAAGAGUGGAAAUGUUGGCGGCUUAGUGGCGGACGGGUGAGUAACGCGUGGGUAACCUGCCAUAUACAGGGGGAUAACACUUAGAAAUAGGUGCUAAUACCGCAUAAGCGCACGGAGCUGCAUGGCUCAGUGUGAAAAACUCCGGUGGUAUAUGAUGGACCCGCGUCUGAUUAGCUUGUUGGCGGGGUAACGGCCCACCAAGGCGACGAUCAGUAGCCGGCCUGAGAGGGUGGACGGCCACAUUGGGACUGAGACACGGCCCAAACUCCUACAGGAGGCAGCAGUGGGGAAUAUUGGACAAUGGGGGGAACCCUGAUCCAGCGACGCCGCGUGAGUGAAGAAGUAUCUCGGUAUGUAAAGCUCUAUCAGCAGGGAAGAAAGAAAUGACGGUACCUGACCAAGAAGCCCCGGCUAACUACGUG
Molecule: ribosomal RNA, 503 nt
Filed under: uncultured Lachnospiraceae bacterium
Lineage: Bacteria; Bacillati; Bacillota; Clostridia; Lachnospirales; Lachnospiraceae
Description: bacterial SSU rRNA
Rfam family: Bacterial small subunit ribosomal RNA
Source: RNAcentral